UUCAUCUAGCAUUACGUAAUUGUCAGCGGCUGUAUCCUCCUCUCAGUAUUAAGGGCAUCAUGGCUUAUUUCUGCAUCGGCAACAACGACUAUAGCACUUGAUCCCGAGGAUGACCCUAUAUUAACCCCGUAUCGCGGUCCCCUUCAUCAUCGAAUGAAUCCGGUGCUCCCUCAUUCAUCUCGGCGUAAUCAACCUUCGCC
This is a long non-coding RNA of Varroa destructor (honeybee mite), 200 nucleotides long. The record is from RefSeq and is a predicted model, not a curated record. Lineage: Eukaryota; Metazoa; Arthropoda; Arachnida; Mesostigmata; Varroidae.